UUGAUACAUUGUAGAAAUAAUAGAAGUCUCCUAAAGGGUUGUAGUGAGCUUUUUUCAGUUUCAAAGAACAAAGCAGCUAAUAGGCGAUGUAUGUAAAAUAACUUCUCCAAUUUUUUUUUUUAAGAAAGUGAAUUAUUGUCAGAAAAGUUCUACCGACUCUUAUCUUGUGCCAAAAAUAGCACUGCAAAAUCCCACAAACUCAAGAGGGAAAAUUGAUGAAGAAAUCUUGGAUAUAAUUACAUAUACUAUCUUUAUGUUAGGGAAAAAAUAAAUAAGGCCCAGGGAAUGAUGAGAUUCACAGUCCAAAAUAAAACUGAAAUUAGACUUUCCCUAACUUUUUUUUCCCCUUGCAAAUGUCAUCUGCAUAUUAUCUUACUUUUAUGCUUGUAACCUAAGAUUACCAGUGAUCUCUUUUCUCCUUAUUCUAAAUAUUCAGUUACUCAGUGGUGAUUAUUGUGGCCUUCUUGGCUUACUCCAAUAUUAGAUUAAUAUAGAUUUCUUGUGCCAAAUUAGCGGAAAUCACUGUAGCACAUAAGAGUGAUUCACUCUUUUUUAGUUGUAUUUAUGUUAUGGAAGCAGCAUCAUUUUAGGCUUAAAAGCUUUUAUAUUUUAAAUUUGGAUAUACUGUACCUUAGAGAGCAUAAAAGGUAGUUGUAUUUAAAACGUUUCAAAGUACAUGGGAACUUUUAUGGAGAUUCUAAUUUAGUUAUGAUUCGAGGAGCUCUCUCUUUUUUUUUUUUUUUAAGAGUGGCCAUUUCUAUUCAGCUCUAACAUCAAUCAGUAAGAUUUAAAGUUUCCUGAUUCUUCCUGACUUAGACAUUAUAAGCGCAAAUUAACUAGGCUAGCUAUGCUAGGAGCUGUCCGUGGUAGCAUGUUCUUUAAAAAGUUAGCUGUUAUAAAAUGCAUAUCUGCAUUCUCUGUGUAAUUGGCUUUAUUACCAUUUUUAAAGGUCAGGAUUAAAUUCUUAUUAGAUAAAUUAACUUGGUAUACACACUAGUUAUUUGCAGAUAAUGUAACAAUCUUACUCAUAACUCAAUUGCAAAACUAAACUUCCAUGAUGUUAAUGAAUGUUUCUGGUUGCAGCUUUAAAGUAUGUAUGAGCAAAUAAACAAAAAUCACAAGCUAUUAAAUGUGUGCUUCUUUAAGUUGACAUUAAUAUAAAAGCACAGUGCAAAUAGUCUCCAUGGUAGUAGGGCAAUGCGAACAAACAUCAAAAAAUGUGACUUGUAUGACUUUAUUGCUCUUGAAAUUAAUUCUUGUCCUUAUGUGACCUGCCAUGUCUGCUAUAGAAAUCCAAAAGAUCAUAAUUGUUUGAUAUGAAAUGCAAAAAGAAUAGUUAAAUUGAAAGUUUAACAUCAUGAAAUUCAAAAUCCCAAGCGGUAUAUAAACAUUAAAAGAAACUUUGGACUGCUAAUCCUAGGAAAUGAGUUUUAUGGAUUGAAUUCAACAAGGCUUCAGAAAUGGUUCCAUCUGCUGCCUAGCAGCUGGUGAAAGGAUAAAUUUAAUUCAUUAAUUCAUUUGGAAAAAAGGAUCCAAAGUAGUAAAGACUUCAUUGCUCAUAAUGCAUAUAGGUGAAAACACAAACUGAAAUCUGGCCCAAUUGAUCAUCCUAGAUAAUGAGCUACAUUUUGUCUUCCCUUUUUUGGUAAAGGUCUUAGUGAUUGAGUCAAUACGGUGUUGAUUUUUACGACAAUAACCAAUCAUUUCUAAUCACUUCCGUGAUUAAAAAAAAAAAACAACUCAGGGAAAUUCAAAGUAAGUCACAGUUUUUAAUCUAGGGAACUGUGGGCAUUAGAAAUUUUACGUGUUCCCAUUUUGCAUAUGUGUCCAUGGCAACCGUGUGUAUCUGUAGGCUUACAAUGUAUACAUACCGAUACUCUGAAUCAUAUACAUUCUGAAUCGCUUCAAUAACUACUUCUUUUAAGUGGUGCCAUCCCAUUUGUUGAAAUAUUCAAACUUUUUUACUACUCAGGAUUAAUGUCAGCAAAGUGUGCUUGAGAUUCCAAGUUCAUAUUUACUCCAAAGUUGCAAGGUUCAAAAUAACUCUUGUUUUGCUUUUUCCUCUUGCGACACUUCAAGCCAGUUAUCCCAGCUUGUUCCACUCACGUGUUCUGGAGUACUUCAAAAGAUAAAAAGUUGUGCUUGAAGCCGUCUUGAUCACUUUGACAUAGAACAUGGGGAAAAGAUUCAUUUGGCUGGAUGGCCCAGGACUUUUUAAUAUCUUUGCACAAAAAUAGAAGGUUGAAGCCCAGUGUCUGGAAUUGUUUAAAUGUAACCAACAUGAUGAGAUACCGAGAAAGUUAUUGUUGUUGAAUUCCCUUUAACUUGGAAUCUACUUGUAUCGGUGGAUUUUUUUAUCUGCUGGCAUUUUCACGAGAGCGAGUUUUCCCCUGGAAGUGUAGGGCUCACCUUCUGGGCCAGGUAAAUGUGUCCUGGUUGCCAGUGAGUGGAUCAUGAUGGACAUAAGAACACCCCUGACUGCUUCCACCAGCGUACAUUCUAGCCAUUCCUUUCGGAUGCUGAUUUCAUGAAUGGCUUUGACUUUUCUUUCUCUGUGGCCAUAGCUCUGUGGUGGGUUUUUUGGAUUUACUCUAAAGGUUCUGUUUGCACCCUGUGGGCUGGGUUAAGAAUCAGGGUUUAUGCAUUUACUUUUUUGAUCUUUUCUUUUUUUUCUUUUCUUUUUUUUUUUUUUUUUGCCUUUGAGGCUCUUCCACGGUGUCAGCUGCUGACUGAUACGGUUGGUAAACAGAGAUAAGGAAUAAAUAGAGCACAGGCAAAAGGAGAUAGUUCUGUGGGGGCCCAGAUUGCUGCCAGUCUGUUCAGGGGAGAUGCAGGGCCUGUCCUUUUCCCAGAUUAAAUUAGUGUGCGAAAUCUCCAGCGACCUCCUCCCCUUCUCCGCAUACUCUUGAGCCAAGCUGAACAGCCUCUGCUGUAAAGUAUUCAUUUUACCCAGGGACAAGCCGGACAAUGGACCUCUCCCUGAUACUUACGGACAGCUGUCGUCAUUCACGGAGCUGUCAGCAUUUCAUUUUUCAUAGGAGUUAAAAGGGUUUUUACCUUGUAACUGAAAGAGGGCAUCACUGCAACUUUGCCAGUUCCGAGGCUGCCUGGGCAGGGGGUGGGACUGGGGUGGGGGUGACUUCGGAGGAGAAACUGCUAGAGGAAGCAAUUCUUUUUGGGUUUGCUAAUAUGAUUACACUGACACAGAAAUUAAAUUUCAAAUCUGGGUUCCUUGCUGAGAGAAAAUAUCUUUGAUUCUGAAAGU
Molecule: long non-coding RNA, 3265 nt
Filed under: Sus scrofa (pig)
Lineage: Eukaryota; Metazoa; Chordata; Mammalia; Artiodactyla; Suidae
Description: lncRNA (ENSSSCG00000060320.1)
Source: RNAcentral